Molecule: ribosomal RNA, 541 nt
Filed under: Pseudomonas sp.
Lineage: Bacteria; Pseudomonadati; Pseudomonadota; Gammaproteobacteria; Pseudomonadales; Pseudomonadaceae
Description: bacterial SSU rRNA
Rfam family: Bacterial small subunit ribosomal RNA
Source: RNAcentral
UGCAGUCGAGCGGAUGACGGGAGCUUGCUCCUUGAUUCAGCGGCGGACGGGUGAGUAAUGCCUAGGAAUCUGCCUGGUAGUGGGGGACAACGUUCCGAAAGGGGCGCUAAUACCGCAUACGUCCUACGGGAGAAAGUGGGGGAUCUUCGGACCUCGCGCUAUCAGAUGAGCCUAGGUCGGAUUAGCUAGUUGGUGGGGUAAUGGCUCACCAAGGCGACGAUCCGUAACUGGUCUGAGAGGAUGAUCAGUCACACUGGAACUGAGACACGGUCCAGACUCCUACGGGAGGCAGCAGUGGGGAAUAUUGGACAAUGGGCGAAAGCCUGAUCCAGCCAUGCCGCGUGUGUGAAGAAGGUCUUCGGAUUGUAAAGCACUUUAAGUUGGGAGGAAGGGCAGUAAGUUAAUACCUUGCUGUUUUGACGUUACCGACAGAAUAAGCACCGGCUAACUCUGUGCCAGCAGCCGCGGUAAUACAGAGGGUGCAAGCGUUAAUCGGAAUUACUGGGCGUAAAGCGCGCGUAGGUGGUUCGUUAAGUUGGAU